Molecule: transfer RNA, 74 nt
Filed under: Caldilineaceae bacterium SB0661_bin_34
Lineage: Bacteria; Bacillati; Chloroflexota; Caldilineae; Caldilineales; Caldilineaceae
Also listed under: 4 other names
Description: tRNA-Trp
Rfam family: tRNA
About the family: Transfer RNA (tRNA) molecules are approximately 80 nucleotides in length.
Source: RNAcentral
AGGCGUGUAGCUCAAUUUGGCAGAGCAUCGGUCUCCAAAACCGAAGGUUGCGGGUUCAAGUCCUGCCGCGCCUG